Molecule: transfer RNA, 63 nt
Filed under: Centruroides vittatus
Lineage: Eukaryota; Metazoa; Arthropoda; Arachnida; Scorpiones; Buthidae
Description: tRNA-Ser
Source: RNAcentral
AGUUAUUUAGCUAAUAUAAGCUUUUGUUUUGAAAGCAAAAAAUAGGAAGUAUCUUAAUAACUU